This 1170-nucleotide long non-coding RNA is filed under the name Androctonus crassicauda. Lineage: Eukaryota; Metazoa; Arthropoda; Arachnida; Scorpiones; Buthidae. The record is from RNAcentral.
GGCCAUGUUGAUUUUAUUACCCAGCGAUUUUUCAAUUGUAUUGCAUUGAUUUGAAUCCAUUCCUAACAAUUUGAUUGCAUAAAGCAGCGGGCACUGUAUUUUCAUAAUUCAGUCAUUAAUAGCUAUGAUUGUGUUUCCUUCUCAUAUCUUGGGACUAUUUGAUAGAGGAAUAAAAAGACUGUAUUAAUUCGUUUAAUUUUUAAAGCAAACUUUUAUAUCAUCAUGUAAGGAGUUGAGAAAACACGUGUCUUACCUGUUCAAGAUGGCCGCCAUUUUGUUAGCCUCGUGCUAUCGCCUUUUUUGGUUUAUCAUUAUUAUUUUGAAAAUGGAGUAUGGAAGACAUUUGUUAAGGAUUAUUAAUACUGACAGAAUAGACAUAAUUUCAUUAAGAGUCUUUAUUGAAAAUUUUGCUUUAUUAUUAACAAUUGCUUACAAUAUGCUAAUAAGAGGAUGAUUAAAAAAGGAAGCCAUUGAGUGGCGUGUUGAAUUCCUCUUCCAUAUCUUGAUUGUCACAUCCUGCUCGUCGCUACAUGGUGUAUUCGGUUCUUGUGGAUGUUGGACUGUUGUGCACAUUUUAGAACUGUAUUUUACGUAUUGACUACGGUUUGGUGUGUGGUUUCUUUGUUGAGAAGAUUGUUUAUUUUGUGGUCUAGGUUUUGUUAUAUGUUGAAAAGUAGAGCUGAAAGGAAGAGGAGAAAGAACAUUAUUGAGUUAUUUAACUAAUGCUAACUUAUUGUAAGUUCUUAAUUUUUGUUUUAAUAAAAAAGUUAAUUAUUCUGUGGACACUAUGGAGUAUCUGCAUGAACUUGUUGAUAAUGUUUUGUAUUGGCUUGACGACUGGGAGUUCGGUAUUCAGAUCAAGUUCAACUGGAGGCGAAGAAACGUCGCUGAGGGACCCCGGGGUCCGACAUUUAGCGGGAAUGUUGAUCGUACUUACCUUGCAAUCAGACUGAAUAAUUUUCUCUGUAUUUCUUUUGUAUGUGAAUUAUUUCUUUGUUCUAAUAUUGUAUUGUGAAGAUAGUUUUUGUCAAAAACACUAAAUAAAACUUAUAAUUUUGGUUAUUUUGAAACCAAAAUUAUAAAUUUCGUUAAGCAUAUGUCAAAUAUAUUUAUAGGAAAUCUUACACUUAUACUCAUUAUCUUUAGAGUAAAUCUUAAAACAGUAUAAGG